Long non-coding RNA from Octopus sinensis (East Asian common octopus), 151 nucleotides. RefSeq lists it as uncharacterized. The record is from RefSeq and is a predicted model, not a curated record. The transcript is spliced from 3 exons. Lineage: Eukaryota; Metazoa; Mollusca; Cephalopoda; Octopoda; Octopodidae.
CUCCUUAACAAUUAUGUAUCCGCUGCAUCGGAAAUCUGCAGUGGAUCCAUAACCAACCGUCUCGGAUAUAACCUCGGGGCCCCAGUAAUCCGUUACAGCACUUACCUAGCGUACAUAAUCGUUUAGAUCACCUGUGAGAUCGGAAGGGCGU